UACGUAGGGGGCAAGCGUUGUCCGGAAUCAUUGGGCGUAAAGAGCGUGUAGGCGGUUCAGUAAGUCUGCUGUGAAAGUCCAAGGCUCAACCUUGGGAUGCCGGUGGAUACUGCUGAGCUAGAGUACGGAAGAGGCGAGUGGAAUUCCCGGUGUAGCGGUGAAAUGCGCAGAUAUCGGGAGGAACACCGAUGGCGAAGGCAGGUCUCUGGGCAUUAACUGACGCUGAGGAGCGAAAGCAUGGGGAGCGAACAGG
RNAcentral lists this ribosomal RNA (253 nucleotides) under uncultured bacterium. Its description in RNAcentral is "partial 16S ribosomal RNA". It matches the Rfam family "Bacterial small subunit ribosomal RNA", at positions 524 to 776 of the family's 1533-position model. The record is from RNAcentral.